Molecule: non-coding RNA, 80 nt
Organism: Bos taurus (domestic cattle)
Lineage: Eukaryota; Metazoa; Chordata; Mammalia; Artiodactyla; Bovidae
Source: Rfam
UCCCUGGUGGCUCAGUGGUAAAGCAUCUGCCUGCCAUGCAGGAGAUGCAGGAGACCCAGGCUCAAUCCCUGGGUUGGGAA